This is a long non-coding RNA of Salvelinus namaycush (lake trout), 118 nucleotides long. RefSeq lists it as uncharacterized. The record is from RefSeq and is a predicted model, not a curated record. Lineage: Eukaryota; Metazoa; Chordata; Actinopteri; Salmoniformes; Salmonidae. The transcript has 3 exons.
GUUCCAGCUGCCCAUCUUCCUGGAUAGUCACUUCAUCUACUCAUUCAGCCCAGUGCCAGGCAUCAACAAACUGUUCAUUCGCCUGGCAGAGUCACCUACAGCCAAGGUGAAGCUUCUC